Molecule: non-coding RNA, 82 nt
Organism: Aspergillus ellipticus CBS 707.79
Lineage: Eukaryota; Fungi; Ascomycota; Eurotiomycetes; Eurotiales; Aspergillaceae
Source: the annotation of a GenBank genome assembly
GGCUGUGUGGUGCAAGUGGGAAGCACGCUGGAGCAACCCUUCCGGGGUCCAGAGGUUUCCGGUUCGAAUCCGGGCACAGUCU